CCGGAUGCUCCAGUUGACCGCAUGGUCCUCUGGGAAAGCUUUUGCGGUAUGGGAUGGGGUCGCGUCCUAUCAGCUUGAUGGCGGGGUAACGGCCCACCAUGGCUUCGACGGGUAGCCGGCCUGAGAGGGCGACCGGCCACAUUGGGACUGAGAUACGGCCCAGACUCCUACGGGAGGCAGCAGUGGGGAAUAUUGCACAAUGGGCGCAAGCCUGAUGCAGCGACGCCGCGUGCGGGAUGACGGCCUUCGGGUUGUAAACCGCUUUUGACUGGGAGCAAGCCCUUCGGGGUGAGUGUACCUUUCGAAUAAGCACCGGCUAACUACGUGCCAGCAGCCGCGGUAAUACGUAGGGUGCAAGCGUUAUCCGGAAUUAUUGGGCGUAAAGGGCUCGUAGGCGGUUCGUCGCGUCCGGUGUGAAAGUCCAUCGCUUAACGGUGGAUCCGCGCCGGGUACGGGCGGGCUUGAGUGCGGUAGGGGAGACUGGAAUUCCCGGUG
Molecule: ribosomal RNA, 495 nt
Filed under: uncultured Bifidobacterium sp.
Lineage: Bacteria; Bacillati; Actinomycetota; Actinomycetes; Bifidobacteriales; Bifidobacteriaceae
Description: bacterial SSU rRNA
Rfam family: Bacterial small subunit ribosomal RNA
Source: RNAcentral